Molecule: non-coding RNA, 71 nt
Organism: Zootermopsis nevadensis
Lineage: Eukaryota; Metazoa; Arthropoda; Insecta; Blattodea; Termopsidae
Source: Rfam
GGCACAGUGGCAGUGUGGUUAGCUGGUUGUGUAGCAUGAGUCACUGCCACUAUCCUCACUGCCCUUGUGAC